RNAcentral lists this ribosomal RNA (324 nucleotides) under uncultured eukaryote. RNAcentral describes it as "partial 18S ribosomal RNA". It matches the Rfam family "Eukaryotic small subunit ribosomal RNA", at positions 1470 to 1796 of the family's 1831-position model. The record is from RNAcentral.
CCCUUAGAUGUCCUGGGCUGCACGCGCGCUACACUGAUGUGUCCAGUAAGCACCUAACCUCUUCCGAAAGGAACGGGUAACCUUUGCAAAGCACAUCGUGAUGGGGAUAGAUUAUUGCAAUUAUUAGUCUUGAACGAGGAAUUCCUAGUAAGCACAAGUCAUCAGCUUGUGUUAAUUACGUCCCUGCCCUUUGUACACACCGCCCGUCGCUCCUACCGAUUGAAUGUUCCGGUGAGCUCUUCGGACUGCGCGGUCUGCAGUUUCUGCGUUCCGUGCGGAAAGUUGCGCAAACCUUAACAUUUAGAGGAAGGAGAAGUCGUAACA